Molecule: ribosomal RNA, 678 nt
Filed under: uncultured bacterium
Lineage: Bacteria
Description: bacterial SSU rRNA
Rfam family: Bacterial small subunit ribosomal RNA
Source: RNAcentral
AGAGACGCUGGCGGCAGGCCUAACACAUGCAAGUCGAACGGACCCUUCGGGGUUAGUGGCGGACGGGUGAGUAACACGUGGGAACGUGCCUUUAGGUUCGGAAUAGCUCCUGGAAACGGGUGGUAAUGCCGAAUGUGCCCUUCGGGGGAAAGAUUUAUCGCCUUUAGAGCGGCCCGCGUCUGAUUAGCUAGUUGGUGAGGUAACGGCUCACCAAGGCGACGAUCAGUAGCUGGUCUGAGAGGAUGACCAGCCACACUGGGACUGAGACACGGCCCAGACUCCUACGGGAGGCAGCAGUGGGGAAUCUUGCGCAAUGGGCGAAAGCCUGACGCAGCAACGCCGCGUGGGGGAUGAAUGCCUUCGGGUUGUAAACCCCUUUCAGUGGGAACGAAAUUGACGGUACCCACAGAAGAAGCCCCGGCCAACUACGUGCCAGCAGCCGCGGUGAUACGUAGGGGGCGAGCGUUGUCCGGAUUCAUUGGGCGUAAAGAGCUCGUAGGCGGCUUGGUAAGUCGGGUGUGAAACCUCCAGGCUCAACCUGGAGACGCCACUCGAGACUGCCCUGGCUGGAGUCCGGUAGGGGACCACGGAAUUCCUGGUGUAGCGGUGAAAUGCGCAGAUAUCAGGAGGAACACCAGUGGCGAAGGCGGUGGUCUGGGCCGGUACUGACGCUGAGGA